RNAcentral lists this non-coding RNA (146 nucleotides) under Thraustochytrium sp. LLF1b. Lineage: Eukaryota; Bigyra; Thraustochytrida; Thraustochytriidae. The record is from RNAcentral.
ACCAAGCCUUGAGUACCCAGCAGCCACUUAUGCCCGUGAAAGAACAACAAAAACAAACAACAAAAACAAAAAAACGUAAUCGGCGUGGUUACGCCUUUACCUUAAUUAAUACCUAUGGUUUCUUGUCUAAUUUAUAAUCGUUAUCU